This 431-nucleotide ribosomal RNA is filed under the name uncultured bacterium. RNAcentral's name for it is "partial 16S ribosomal RNA". It matches the Rfam family "Bacterial small subunit ribosomal RNA", at positions 29 to 507 of the family's 1533-position model. The record is from RNAcentral.
AACGAACGCUGGCGGCAGGCUUAACACAUGCAAGUCGAGCGCCCCGCAAGGGGAUCGGCAGGCGGGUGCGUAACGCGUGGGAACGUACCUUUUGGUUCGGAACAACUCCGGGAUACUGGAGCUAAUACCGGAUAAGCCCUAACGGGGAAAGAGUGAUCGCCGAAAGAUCGGCGCGCGUCUGAUUAGCUAGUUGGUGAGGUAACGGCUCACCAAGGCGACGAGCAGUAGCUGGUCUGAGAGGAGGAUCAGCCACACUGGGACUGCGACACGGCCCAGACUCCUACGGGAGGCAGCGGUGGGGAAUAUUGGACAAUGGGCGCAAGCCUAAUCCAGCCAUGCCGCGUGAGUGAUGAAGGCCUUAGGGUUGUAAAGCUCUUUUGUCCGAGAAGAUAAUGACGGUACCGGAAGAAUAAGCCCCGGCUAACUUCGUG